This 84-nucleotide transfer RNA is filed under the name Phytomonospora endophytica. RNAcentral describes it as "tRNA-Leu". It matches the Rfam family "tRNA". From Rfam's summary of the family: Transfer RNA (tRNA) molecules are approximately 80 nucleotides in length. Their secondary structure includes four short double-helical elements and three loops (D, anti-codon, and T loops). Further hydrogen bonds mediate the characteristic L-shaped molecular structure. tRNAs have two regions of fundamental functional importance: the anti-codon, which is responsible for specific mRNA codon recognition, and the 3' end, to which the tRNAs corresponding amino acid is attached (by aminoacyl-tRNA synthetases). tRNAs cope with the degeneracy of the genetic code in two manners: having more than one tRNA (with a specific anti-codon) for a particular amino acid; and 'wobble' base-pairing, i.e. permitting non-standard base-pairing at the 3rd anti-codon position. The record is from RNAcentral. Lineage: Bacteria; Bacillati; Actinomycetota; Actinomycetes; Micromonosporales; Micromonosporaceae.
GCCCGGGUGGUGGAAACGGGAGACACAACUGCCUUAAAAGCAGUUGCCGCGAGGCGUGAGGGUUCGAGUCCCUCCCCGGGCACC